AGUGAACGCUGGCGGUAGGCCUAACACAUGCAAGUCGAACGGCAGCACAGUAAGAGCUUGCUCUUACGGGUGGCGAGUGGCGGACGGGUGAGGAAUACAUCGGAAUCUACUUUUUCGUGGGGGAUAACGUAGGGAAACUUACGCUAAUACCGCACACGACCUACGGGUGAAAGCAGGGGAUCUUCGGACCUUGCGCGAUUGAAUGAGCCGAUGUCGGAUUAGCUAGUUGGCGGGGUAAAGGCCCACCAAGGCGACGAUCCGUAGCUGGUCUGAGAGGAUGAUCGGCCACACUGGAACUGAGACACGGUCCAGACUCCUACGGGAGGCAGCAGUGGGGAAUAUUGGACAAUGGGCGCAAGCCUGAUCCAGCCAUACCGCGUGGGUGAAGAAGGCCUUCGGGUUGUAAAGCCCUUUUGUUGGGGAAGAAAAACAGCGGGUUAAUACCCCGCUGUUCUGACGGUACCCAAAGAAUAAGCACCGGCUAACUUCGUG
This 492-nucleotide ribosomal RNA is filed under the name uncultured bacterium. Its description in RNAcentral is "partial 16S ribosomal RNA". It matches the Rfam family "Bacterial small subunit ribosomal RNA", at positions 29 to 507 of the family's 1533-position model. The record is from RNAcentral.